This is an RNA transcript of Symphalangus syndactylus (siamang), 3372 nucleotides long. It is a transcript of the gene named N-terminal glutamine amidase 1, with no coding region annotated. The record is from RefSeq and is a predicted model, not a curated record. Lineage: Eukaryota; Metazoa; Chordata; Mammalia; Primates; Hylobatidae.
UCCGCCCACUCCGCGCCGGGAACCCACGCGGGCCACUACAAGCCCACCCUUUCCUACGUCUUGUCCAGUCGGUCGUCCUCCGGUCCGGGCCCUGGCCUAGCUAGCCGGCCAUGGAGGGUAAUGGCCCUGCUGCUGUCCACUACCAGCCGGCCAGCCCCCCGCGGGACGCCUGCGUCUACAGCAGCUGCUACUGUGAAGAAAAUAUUUGGAAGCUCUGUGAAUACAUCAAAAACCAUGGCCAGUAUCCUUUAGAAGAAUGUUAUGCUGUCUUCAUAUCAAAUGAGAGGAAGAUGAUACCUAUCUGGAAACAACAGGCGAGACCUGGAGAUGGACCUGUGAUCUGGGAUUACCAUGUUGUUUUGCUUCAUGUUUCAAGUGGAGGACAGAGCUUCAUUUAUGAUCUUGAUACUGUCUUGCCAUUUCCCUGCCUCUUUGACACUUAUGUAGAAGAUGCCUUUAAGUCUGAUGAUGACAUUCACCCACAGUUUAGGAGGAAAUUUAGAGUGAUCCGUGCAGAUUCAUAUUUGAAGAACUUUGCUUCUGACCGAUCUCACAUGAAAGACUCCAGUGGGAAUUGGAGAGAGCCUCCGCCGCCGUAUCCCUGCAUUGAGACUGGAGAUUCCAAAAUGAACCUGAACGAUUUCAUCAGUAUGGAUCCCAAGGUAGGAUGGGGUGCUGUCUACACACUAUCCGAAUUUACACAUCGGUUUGGCAGUAAAAACUGCUGAACUUGGCCUCAAGAUGUGGAACUGCGGAGAAAUUCUAGGACAUGAACAAGCAAGCUAUCCUUUCAUCGAGGACAGCAAACAUUAUGUUCGUGCAACACAAGAGCCCUGGUGCUCCUCCACCUAUCAGAGCCAUCUUCACAGCAGAGACCAAGUCCUCACCAGACAACAUAAUCUGCUCAGCCCUGAUCUUGGACUUACAGCCUCCGCAAUAGACUCUGCUCCAACUAUCAACUUAGGAAGUUAAGGAAAAACAUGGUUUUCUUUUUCCAACUAGAAGCUGGACAUCCUAAGUGAUUGGUUGAAGGAGCAUGUUUGGUUUUCUCUGUCUGGUUCCAAGUUGAAAAUGAAAUGGUGAUGACUGGAGUGACCUCGGAAGCUACUUAUCAAAGGCAGAAGAGCCACCAUCAGCCUGGAUUCCUGAUGACUCUAUGGAGCCGAGUUGCAUGCCUGCCUAAGUAGUAUAUUGUGGAACUCUUUCAUAGGAGACAAAUUUAUGUGUUUUUUAAGUCACAGAAUUCUUGGUGAGUUUUGAUUUGGCUGUUUAGUCCUCCCUAAAUAAUUCAGUGCCCAUUCAAGCAUGUAACAGGAUAUUUUUAGCUGGGUCAGAAAUAAGAAUUUGUGGUGUUCCAGGCCGGGUACGGUGGCUCAUGCCUGUAAUCCCAGCACUCUGGAAGGCCAAGGCGGGCGGAUCCCUUGAGGUCAGGAGUUCGAGACCAGCCUGGCCAACAUGGUGAAACUCCAUCUCUCCCCAAAAUACAAAAAUUAGCCAGGUAUGUAUGCCUGUAAUUCCAGUUACUCGGGAGGCUUGAGUGUCACCUGAAAUAUUGCCUGAACCCAGGAGGUGGAGGUUGCAGUGAGCCGAGAUUGCACCACUGCACUCCAGCCUGGGCAACAAGAGUGAGACUGUCUGAAAAAAAAAAAGAAAAAAAAAAGAAUUUGUGGUGUAAGCCUCUGUGUACUUGUGCAGACUGCCCCUUUAGUGUCUCACAGUUUUUGUGGAAUUAUUGCCCCUCCUGGAAUGUUCACAAACCCUGAACACAAAUGUCUAUCCAGUCCUGUUGUUUUGUAUGAGGUUCAGGAGCCUUGUGAGAAAGAAGCCAAAUGGUCUGUGUUCUCAUUUAGGGUUCAGACGUGUAUAGGCUUGUCCCGUGGGCUAGAGGUCCUCAAAGAUGUCUUUGCUAGAGGAGAGAAAAACAUGAACAGGUCCCUGAGAGAAAAUCAACGUAAGUGAAGAUGACAUCUGGCUGAGAGGACCAGACUAGAUGAUUAUACAUUAGAGCGUUCCUUGAUGGCAGAUGCCAUGAGAGAUGUGCCACGGUGUACCCUUACCCCUACUCUCUUACUCUCUUGAAAGCCCUGUCUCCUGGGAAGAAACGAAAGAACUGUGUCACUAGGGGCCCCAUGUGGCUCUGUGGGAACCUUGGAAAUAGCUGCUGAUUUUCUGUAGAACAGUGGACAGCAGUGUUCUGACUGAGUCUGGUAUUUUGGUGGUUGACAGCAGUACACGCCAUGCCCAGUGGCUGGCUCAGCAGUGAAGCAGAAGCAUGAGGAAGGCUGCAGGCUGUGGUUUGGAUUCUCUGUGAAUCCCCUUUUCAUCAGGAUUUGAAAGAGAAAAUGACUUACACAGGACUCUCAGACUGGUAGGGGCUUGUGUACAUUCAGCAUAUAGCAAUUAACACCUUGAUGAUUUGCAGAAAUUCUUCAUGGAGGAUGCUUAUUUAAAAGAGCUGGAGGGCUGGGUGUGGUGGCUCAUGCCUACAAUCCCAGCACUUUGGGAGGCUGAAGCGGGCAGAUCACUUGAGGCCAGGAGUUCAAGACCUCUACUGUUGCUGUAUCACUGCCCUGGUGAUUCAGCAGUGAAUCCUGCGCUCAUGGAUGUUACAUUCUUGUGCAGAAGACAGACAGUGAACUUCUACAAUGUGUGGAAGAUUGGUUGCUAUUUACUGAGUUGCGGAAGAUUGUGGGUGGAGUAAUUUUGGGGAGGAAGAGCAGGAGUUUUAUUGGGGGCAUGUUAAAUUUGAGGUGCCAGUUGGGUGUCUAAGAGGAGCUGUCAAAUAGGAGUUGGUAGCCGGGUGUGGUAGGCGGAGGUUGUAGUGAGCCUGAGAUCACGCCACUGCACUCCAGCCUGGGCGACAGAGUGAGACUCCGGCUCGCUUUCUUUCUGUCUCUCUCUCUCUCUCUCUCUGUCUCUCUCUCUCUCUCUCUCUCUCUCUAUAUAUAUAUAUAUAUAUAUAUAUAUAUAUAUGAGCUGGAUAAAGGGGUCCCAGAGUCAGUGGAGUGGUGUAGGAUGGGAAUAUCAAAUUGGGAGACAUCCGUUAAUAGAUGACAUUUAAAGGUACAGGCCUCUAUAGUAUCAUUGAGAGAAUGUGUGUGGUUAGAGGAACGGUCCAGGGAUCUAGCCUAGGGAGCUUUUAUUUAGGGCUCAGGAGACAGGAAGGCAGAUGGAAUGGUCAUGGAGGAAGGAGGAGAAAACAAGGAUGCCCAAAGGAGAAAGUGGUAUUAGAAGGGGAGAGGGAUCAGCUCUGUCAGAUGUUGCUGAUCAGUUGAGUAAGUUGAGGACUGGGAUGACCAUUGGUUUUGGCAGUGUGGAGGUCUUUGAGCAAUUUCAGUGGAGUGAUGGGGAUGACAGCCUAAUUUCAGUAGG